This 440-nucleotide ribosomal RNA is filed under the name uncultured bacterium. RNAcentral's name for it is "bacterial SSU rRNA". It matches the Rfam family "Bacterial small subunit ribosomal RNA", at positions 338 to 795 of the family's 1533-position model. The record is from RNAcentral.
CCUACGGGAGGCAGCAGUGGGGAAUAUUGCACAAUGGGCGCAAGCCUGAUGCAGCCAUGCCGCGUGUGUGAAGAAGGUCUUCGGAUUGUAAAGCUCUUUCACCGGUGAAGAUAAUGACGGUAACCGGAGAAGAAGCCCCGGCUAACUUCGUGCCAGCAGCCGCGGUAAUACGAAGGGGGCUAGCGUUGCUCGGAAUUACUGGGCGUAAAGCGCGCGUAGGCGGAUAGAUAAGUCAGAGGUGAAAUCCCGGGGCUCAACCCCGGAAUUGCCUUUGAUACUGUUUAUCUUGAGUGCAGAAGAGGUAAGUGGAAUUCCGAGUGUAGGGGUGAAAUUCGUAGAUAUUCGGAGGAACACCAGUGGCGAAGGCGGCUUACUGGUCUGCAACUGACGCUGAGGCGCGAAAGCGUGGGGAGCAAACAGGAUUAGAUACCCGCGUAGUC